CCUACGGGUGGCAGCAGUAGGGAAUUUUCGGCAAUGGGGGGAACCCUGACCGAGCAACGCCGCGUGAACGAAGAAGUUUUUCGUAUUGUAAAGUUCUUUUAACAGGGACGCAAGAGAAAUUUGUCGGUACCUGAUGAAUCAGCUCCGGCUAACUACGUGCCAGCAGCCGCGUUCAUACGUAGGGAGCGAGCGUUAUCCGGAAUUAUUGGCCGUAAAGGGUGCGUAGAUGGCAUAGUAAGUCUUUUGUAAAAAUGCGGGGCUCAACCCAGUAGGGCAAAAGAUACUGGAAAGCUAGAGUAUGACAGAGGCAAGUGGAACUACAUGUGUAGCGGUAAAAUGCGUAGAUAUAUGUAAGAACACCAGUGGCGAAGGCGGCUUGCUGGGUCGAUACUGACAGUGAGGCACGAAAGCGUGGGGAGCAAACAGGAUUAGAUACCCUAGUAGUC
This 446-nucleotide ribosomal RNA is filed under the name uncultured bacterium. RNAcentral's name for it is "partial 16S ribosomal RNA". It matches the Rfam family "Bacterial small subunit ribosomal RNA", at positions 338 to 795 of the family's 1533-position model. The record is from RNAcentral.